UUUCUUUAUCAAUCUUGAAAUUCUCAAAGUACAAACUAACACCAGGGUCUCUCAUCUUGACCUCACUACCAUGCAACACAGAAUUUGAUACACCCUGAACGUUGUUGUUCACAUAGAUGUUAAUGCAACAACAAUGUUCUUCUUCUGCCUCACCUUUCUUGCUCCUAUGCUGCAAGCGCAUCGUGGCGCCGACAUUUUUUCCGUCCAAGUUGAUGUAUUCGAACGAUGUGCCAUGCUUGAAAUUUGAGUCCAUGUG
RNAcentral lists this long non-coding RNA (256 nucleotides) under Arachis ipaensis. RNAcentral describes it as "long non-coding RNA (AIPA_LNC001459)". The record is from RNAcentral. Lineage: Eukaryota; Viridiplantae; Streptophyta; Magnoliopsida; Fabales; Fabaceae.